RNAcentral lists this ribosomal RNA (253 nucleotides) under uncultured bacterium. Its description in RNAcentral is "partial 16S ribosomal RNA". It matches the Rfam family "Bacterial small subunit ribosomal RNA", at positions 524 to 776 of the family's 1533-position model. The record is from RNAcentral.
UACGUAGGGGGCAAGCGUUGUCCGGAAUUAUUGGGCGUAAAGAGCGUGUAGGCGGCUCGUUAAGUCCGCUGUGAAAGUCCAGGGCUCAACCCUGGAAUGCCGGUGGAAACUGUCGAGCUAGAGUCCGGAAGAGGCGAGUGGAAUUCCUGGUGUAGCGGUGAAAUGCGCAGAUAUCAGGAGGAACACCAAUGGCGAAGGCAGCUCGCUGGGACGGUACUGACGCUGAGACGCGAAAGCGUGGGGAGCAAACAGG